UUGACAAUAUAUGUCCAUGUGAUCUAUGUUUGAUUAUAUAUAUAUUUGUGCUGUUUGUCAUCAAUUACCAAAAAGGGGGAGAUUGAAGCAUCUAGGCCCCCAUUGUUAA
Molecule: microRNA precursor, 109 nt
Filed under: Oryza sativa Japonica Group (Japanese rice)
Lineage: Eukaryota; Viridiplantae; Streptophyta; Magnoliopsida; Poales; Poaceae
Description: mir-166 microRNA precursor
Source: RNAcentral